AGAGUUUGAUCAUGGCUCAGAUUGAACGCUAGCGGGAUGCCUUACACAUGCAAGUCGAACGGCAGCGCGGACUUCGGUCUGGCGGCGAGUGGCGAACGGGUGAGUAAUGUAUCGGAACGUGCCCAGUAGCGGGGGACAACCACUCGAAAGAGUGGCUAAUACCGCAUACGCCCGUACGGGAAGGGGGGGAUCGCAAGACCUCUCACUAUUGGAGCGGCCGAUAUCGGAUUAGCUAGUUGGUGGGGUAAAGGCCUACCAAGGCGACGAUCCGUAGCUGGUUUGAGAGGACGACCAGCCACACUGGGACUGAGACACGGCCCAGACUCCUACGGGAGGCAGCAGUGGGGAAUUUUGGACAAUGGGGAAACCCUGAUCCAGCCAUUCCGCGUGUGCGAUGAAGGCCUUCGGGUUGUAAAGCACUUUUGGCAGGAAAGAAAUCGUGUGGGUUAAUACCCUGCGCGGAUGACGGUACCUGCAGAAUAAGCACCGGCUAACUACGUG
RNAcentral lists this ribosomal RNA (501 nucleotides) under uncultured bacterium. Its description in RNAcentral is "bacterial SSU rRNA". It matches the Rfam family "Bacterial small subunit ribosomal RNA", at positions 8 to 507 of the family's 1533-position model. The record is from RNAcentral.